AUUGAACGCUGGGGCAUGCUUUACACAUGCAAGUCGGACGGCAGCACAGAGAAGCUUGCUUCUUGGGUGGCGAGUGGCGAACGGGUGAGUAACAUAUCGGAACGUACCGAGCAGUGGGGGAUAACUAAUCGAAAGAUUAGCUAAUACCGCAUAUAUUCUGAGGAAGAAAGCAGGGGACCAUUUGGCCUUGCGCUGUUUGAGCGGCCGAUAUCUGAUUAGCUAGUUGGUGGGGUAAAGGCCUACCAAGGCGACGAUCAGUAGCGGGUCUGAGAGGAUGAUCCGCCACACUGGGACUGAGACACGGCCCAGACUCCUACGGGAGGCAGCAGUGGGGAGUUUUGGACAAUGGGCGCAAGCCUGAUCCAGCCAUGCCGCGUGUCUGAAGAAGGCCUUCGGGUUGUAAAGGACUUUUGUCAGGGAAGAAAAGGGCGGGGUUAAUACCCC
Molecule: ribosomal RNA, 444 nt
Filed under: Neisseria mucosa
Lineage: Bacteria; Pseudomonadati; Pseudomonadota; Betaproteobacteria; Neisseriales; Neisseriaceae
Description: bacterial SSU rRNA
Rfam family: Bacterial small subunit ribosomal RNA
Source: RNAcentral